Molecule: long non-coding RNA, 570 nt
Organism: Homo sapiens (human)
Lineage: Eukaryota; Metazoa; Chordata; Mammalia; Primates; Hominidae
Exons: 2
Source: RefSeq, a predicted model, not a curated record
ACAGAACUGACAUCCCUUUGCUCCAGUCUUCCAAACCCUGGCCACGUGAACUAAGCCAUCUGAUUGCUGGGUAUAUCAGCAUCUAGUUUGUGCAAAAUUAUCUGAACUUAUUUUCGUUCCUGCUGAUGCAAGUGCCUGGUGGGUCAAAUCCGGAGGCGGAUGCAUGACAAGGUAUGGCUUCCAUGAAAAGAAAACAACGCCACACUUCUUCUCCUUUUGAUCCCCUGCCACUCAGCUACUUAUACAACUCUUCUCUCCACAAAUACUAAUUCAGCUUUUAAUUUGAAACUGUUAGGGAAGUUUCAGACAGGGAAAAUAAAGGAGUUAAAAGUAUGCCUGCAGCUCUAAAAUAUGUCAAAUUAGUGUAUUGAUUACUUCAAGCUCAAAGUACUUUGGAAACUGUAGUUCCAGAAGUGACUAUCUGACCUGUCUUUUCCUGCAUAUAGCAAGCCAUAAAACUUCCAUGGAGAAAGAUGCCUUCCCUGUGCCGGGACAAGAAAAUAACCCUAUCCCCAGGAUUGGAAAUUGUUGCUUCAGUAGACCUGUACAAAUAAACUAAAGUAACUCUUA